Molecule: long non-coding RNA, 530 nt
Filed under: Physcomitrium patens
Lineage: Eukaryota; Viridiplantae; Streptophyta; Bryopsida; Funariales; Funariaceae
Description: long non-coding RNA (PPAT_LNC009889)
Source: RNAcentral
GCUUGAAGAUAUGAUUUUAGCUUUGAUUGUUUAUGACUCUGAAAAAAAAAUUAUGCCUAAGAGACUUUUUGAUAAAGAAAAAUAGUCUAUUGAUAUCAGCCAAAAUUAGAUAUUGAGAGUUUUAAAUAUUAUAGAAGAUAUGUAAAUAGUAGUUUUAAUGAUACUUUAGACCAUUAAUAGAAUAGAUAGAAGAUUUUUAAAAAAAUAAUAAUUUGAGUCAUAUAUAAUUGCAAUAAUGUAACACAAUGAAACAUAUAUAUUUUGUGAGUUAGAUGGAGCUAUCAUUAUAAUUCCAACAACAUACAAGCUGAUGAAGACUUUUAAUAGAAGAGAUAAGUAGUUUCAAAUAAAAGACCUUGGAGAAUUUUUACCUCAAUAUUUGGACCAAGAAUAUAAAAAAGAAGAUGCAGACAUAGAUGUAGAUGAAAAAAAUAGAGAUAAUAAGGUCAGCACAUGCCGGAGGAUGUGCAGGUUUGGAGAGGGUGGAUGUUGUAGUAUAAAAGCUUAUAGUAUGUAAAAAUUAGUUAGAA